GACAGAGGGUGCAAACGUUGUUCGGAAUUACUGGGCAUAAAGAGCACGUAGGUGGUCUGCUAAGUCGUGUGUGAAAUCCCCCGGCUCAACCGGGGAAUUGCGCUCGAUACUGGCAGGCUCGAGGUGGGUAGGGGUGAGCGGAACUCCAGGUGGAGCGGUGAAAUGCGUAGAUAUCUGGAGGAACACCGGUGGCGAAAGCGGCUCACUGGACCCAAUCUGACACUGAGGUGCGAAAGCUAGGGUAGCAAAC
This 250-nucleotide ribosomal RNA is filed under the name uncultured bacterium. RNAcentral's name for it is "partial 16S ribosomal RNA". It matches the Rfam family "Bacterial small subunit ribosomal RNA", at positions 524 to 773 of the family's 1533-position model. The record is from RNAcentral.